UACAGAGGUCUCAAGCGUUGUUCGGAUUCAUUGGGCGUAAAGGGUGCGUAGGUGGCGCCGUAAGUCAGGGGUGAAAUCCUGGAGCUCAACUCCAGAACUGCCUUUGAUACUGGGGAUCUCGAGUCCGGGAGAGGUGAGUGGAACUGCGAGUGUAGAGGUGAAAUUCGUAGAUAUUCGCAAGAACACCAGUGGCGAAGGCGGCUCACUGGCCCGGUACUGACGCUGAGGUGCGAAAGCGUGGGGAGCAAACAGG
This 253-nucleotide ribosomal RNA is filed under the name uncultured bacterium. RNAcentral's name for it is "partial 16S ribosomal RNA". It matches the Rfam family "Bacterial small subunit ribosomal RNA", at positions 524 to 776 of the family's 1533-position model. The record is from RNAcentral.